This 429-nucleotide ribosomal RNA is filed under the name bacterium. RNAcentral's name for it is "partial 16S ribosomal RNA". It matches the Rfam family "Bacterial small subunit ribosomal RNA", at positions 355 to 776 of the family's 1533-position model. The record is from RNAcentral.
UAGGGAAUCUUCGGCAAUGGGGGCAACCCUGACCGAGCAACGCCGCGUGAGUGAAGAAGGUUUUCGGAUCGUAAAGCUCUGUUGUAAGAGAAGAACGUGUGUGAGAGUGGAAAGUUCACACAGUGACGGUAACUUACCAGAAAGGGACGGCUAACUACGUGCCAGCAGCCGCGGUAAUACGUAGGUCCCGAGCGUUGUCCGGAUUUAUUGGGCGUAAAGCGAGCGCAGGCGGUUUAAUAAGUCUGAAGUUAAAGGCCGUGGCUUAACCAUUGUUCGCUUUGGAAACUGUUAAACUUGAGUGCAGAAGGGGAGAGUGGAAUUCCAUGUGUAGCGGUGAAAUGCGUAGAUAUAUGGAGGAACACCGGUGGCGAAAGCGGCUCUCUGGUCUGUAACUGACGCUGAUGCUCGAAAGCGUGGGGAGCAAACAAG